CAAAGCAAUGUUUUCAGGUUCCACAUGUUUCUCGUGGAAACCAUUUUCACAUAUGCUUUCUUUGUGGAUUAUUUAUUACUUGUUUGAGAUGCUUGGCUUUUUGAGGUGUACCCCUUAGACUUAAAUCAGGGGUAGUAUAGCAUUCCUACCCUACAGUCUCAGGUUCCAGUCCUCUUCAGAGUUGUUCAUUAAGCUCUGUUAUCCACAUUACACAUUUAAAUGUUAUUUAUUGACCUCCUUAAAAUGUUUCAAAGAUAAAGGAGUACAGCAUAUAAAGAAAAAAAAUCCUUCAACAUGUGUUUGUACUCCUGUUUCUAGCCUGAACUGUCAACCAAGGUAACAACCAAAAUUAACAGAUUAAUAUGUAUCAUUCUAUCGCUUUCUUCCUACUUAUAUUUAAAAUAUAUGCUCUUUUGGGGAAGGAUUGUUUCUUAAUAUUAUCGUUGUUACAACACAUCAUACUUCAACCUGAUUUUUGCACUUAGUACAUCAUGUGAAGCCUUCCAGAUCACAUUCAAGCUUAAUUCAUAAGUUUUGAUUGCUGUAUAAUAUUAUUAGAGCUAUUUUUUUUCAUUUUCUU
This 580-nucleotide long non-coding RNA is filed under the name Bos taurus (domestic cattle). Its description in RNAcentral is "long non-coding RNA NONBTAT006559". Lineage: Eukaryota; Metazoa; Chordata; Mammalia; Artiodactyla; Bovidae. The record is from RNAcentral.